RNAcentral lists this ribosomal RNA (39 nucleotides) under Tacca ampliplacenta. RNAcentral describes it as "partial 26S ribosomal RNA". Lineage: Eukaryota; Viridiplantae; Streptophyta; Magnoliopsida; Dioscoreales; Taccaceae. The record is from RNAcentral.
GCGCUCGACGCCGUUCCUCUCAGGCCGCGAGCCUUCGCG